RNAcentral lists this long non-coding RNA (213 nucleotides) under Brassica napus (rape). RNAcentral's name for it is "long non-coding RNA (BNAP_LNC021923)". Lineage: Eukaryota; Viridiplantae; Streptophyta; Magnoliopsida; Brassicales; Brassicaceae. The record is from RNAcentral.
CCGGAGACUUCUUUUCCGUUAUGUCUUCACAACAACUACCAUGGCGUCGGAUGGUCUCGGAUCCUUAGGUGGUUCGAGAUAGCUCAGGGAUUUCAGUUCUCUGCUUUGUCUCUGCCUUCUGUUGGGUUCCCUCAUCUUUUUGCAUGUUGAUGGGAGCUCAAACCUCCCCCGAUUUCAAAGUUUCAGAAAGAAUUUGACUUCCACUUCCUGCCC